Molecule: ribosomal RNA, 261 nt
Filed under: uncultured bacterium
Lineage: Bacteria
Description: partial 16S ribosomal RNA
Rfam family: Bacterial small subunit ribosomal RNA
Source: RNAcentral
GACCGGCGCACGGGUGAGUAACACGUAUCAACCUGCCGUCUACUCUUGGACAGCCUUCUGAAAGGAAGAUUAAUACAAGAUGGCAUCAUGAGUCCGCAUGUUCACAUGAUUAAAGGUAUUCCGGUAGACGAUGGGGAUGCGUUCCAUUAGAUAGUAGGCGGGGUAACGGCCCACCUAGUCUUCGAUGGGUAGGGGUUCUGAGAGGAAGGUCCCCCACAUUGGAACUGAGACACGGUCCAAACUCCUACGGGAGGCAGCAUG